AUAAAUGAUAAAUCAAUCCUAGUUGCCAUAAUAACAUGGCUUAUCAAAUGAAGAUUACAAGUGAAGGAGAGUAAAGACAAGACAAAGUGGUUAGCUUUGGUACACGAAUCAGUGCGAGAAGCGUGGAAGAAUAACGCAGUAGUUAAAAUUCAUCGGUCUAAUUACCAAAUCAGGUUGACAUAGCUCGAAAUUGUGAUAGUUUACCAUAUCCUGGAG
RNAcentral lists this unclassified non-coding RNA (216 nucleotides) under Hevea brasiliensis (rubber tree). The record is from RNAcentral. Lineage: Eukaryota; Viridiplantae; Streptophyta; Magnoliopsida; Malpighiales; Euphorbiaceae.